CCUACGGGUGGCAGCAGUGAGGCAUAUUGGUCACUGGACGAGAGUCUGAACCAGCCAAGUAGCGUGAAGGAUGACUGCCCUAUGGGUUGUAAACUUCUUUUAUAUGGGAAUAAAAUGUUCCACGUGUGGGAUUUUGUAUAUACCAUAUGAAUAAGGAUCGGCUAACUCCGUGCCAGCAGCCGCGGUAAUACGGAGGAUCCGAGCGUUAUCCGGAUUUAUUGGGUUUAAAGGGAGCGUAGGUGGAUUGUUAAGUCAGUUGUGAAAGUUUGCGGCUCAACCGUCAAAUUGCAGUUGAAAAUGGCAGUCUUGAGUACAGUAGAGGUAGGCGGAAUUCGUGGUGUAGCGGUGAAAUGCUUAGAUAUCACGAAGAACUCCGAUUGCGAAGGCAGUUCACUGGACUGCAACUGACACUGAGGCUCGAAAGUGUGGGUAUCAAACAGGAUUAGAUACCCGAGUAGUC
This 460-nucleotide ribosomal RNA is filed under the name uncultured bacterium. RNAcentral describes it as "partial 16S ribosomal RNA". It matches the Rfam family "Bacterial small subunit ribosomal RNA", at positions 338 to 795 of the family's 1533-position model. The record is from RNAcentral.